UGUGGCCUGAAGGGCCUGGGACACGC
Molecule: small RNA, 26 nt
Filed under: Bombyx mori (domestic silkworm)
Lineage: Eukaryota; Metazoa; Arthropoda; Insecta; Lepidoptera; Bombycidae
Description: ovarian small RNA-35922
Source: RNAcentral